CCUACGGGGGGCAGCAGUGAGGAAUAUUGGUCAAUGGGCGAGAGCCUGAACCAGCCAAGUCGCGUGAGGGAGUACUGCCCUAUGGGUUGUAAACCUCUUUUGUCGGGGAGCAAAAGCCGGACGUGUCCGGCUGUGAGAGUACCCGAAGAAAAAGCAUCGGCUAACUCCGUGCCAGCAGCCGCGGUAAUACAGAGGAUGCGAGCGUUAUCCGGAUUUAUUGGGUUUAAGGGGUGCGCAGGCGGAUUUUUAAGUCAGCGGUAAAAUCGUGGGGCUCAACCCCAUCCAGCCGUUGAAACUGGGGAUCUAGAGUGUGCGAGAGGGAUGCGGAAUGCGUGGUGUAGCGGUGAAAUGCAUAGAUAGCACGCAGAACCCCGAUUGCGAAGGCAGCAUACCGGUGCACAACUGACGCUCAGGCACGAAAGCGUGGGUAUCGAACAGGAUUAGAUACCCCAGUAGUC
This 458-nucleotide ribosomal RNA is filed under the name uncultured bacterium. RNAcentral's name for it is "partial 16S ribosomal RNA". It matches the Rfam family "Bacterial small subunit ribosomal RNA", at positions 338 to 795 of the family's 1533-position model. The record is from RNAcentral.